GGUGAGUGGCGCAGUUUGGUAGCGCACUUGGUUUGGGUCCAAGGGGUCGCAGGUUCAAAU
Molecule: transfer RNA, 60 nt
Filed under: Alteromonas confluentis
Lineage: Bacteria; Pseudomonadati; Pseudomonadota; Gammaproteobacteria; Alteromonadales; Alteromonadaceae
Description: tRNA-Pro
Rfam family: tRNA
About the family: Transfer RNA (tRNA) molecules are approximately 80 nucleotides in length. Their secondary structure includes four short double-helical elements and three loops (D, anti-codon, and T loops).
Source: RNAcentral